UGGGGGGGGGGUGCAUGCACCUGUCUGAAGGCGCCAUUGUCGCGGCGUGCCCAAAAGCUCACACCUCGUUAGAGCGCUUGUCGACGCAGACGCCACGUAGGCUGGAGGUCACGAGGGCAGGACAGCAGUAGAAACAAAACAGAAAAAAAAAGCAAACAGCGAAGACGCACGUGAAAGUCAUCUGAGUCGCGGGUCUGCCGCCGCCGCUGCUGCUGCUGCUGAGGACUCUGACAGUGCACGUGGUGUGUGGUAGCGGUUUGCAUGAGAGGGUUAGAGUGACCUCACGACACGCAGGGGACCUGAAGACUUGAAACGUUCUCUGCUCAGAACAGAUGUUCUUUCCUCUCCGUCCUUGGGGAUGAACCGGCCCGUGUUCCCACAGAGGGCUCCCACCGUCUGCUGAAACCUCUUCAGACUGAAAAUAAUGUGGGAAACACAUCUUCAUUCGGUCUGAUCUUGGGAAGGGUUUUGCUGGCUAAUGGCAAAAAAAGUGCUGCAACUAGUAAGGUGCGCAAUUACCUGCCAAAAGGAAUGUGGCUCCCUGGCUUCAACGGUGGAUUUUGUGAAAAAUACUGGAAACAGUUUAUUGAUUGCAUCGAAAACUUUUGCUCAGAACUGUUUUUGUAUGGCCUAUUUUUUUUUUUUCAUGCUGUAACACAUGUGUCGGCCCUUGGCCCUAAGAAUUAAAUACACGUUGCCUAU
Xiphias gladius (swordfish) is the source of this 702-nucleotide long non-coding RNA. RefSeq lists it as uncharacterized. The transcript is spliced from 2 exons. The record is from RefSeq and is a predicted model, not a curated record. Lineage: Eukaryota; Metazoa; Chordata; Actinopteri; Istiophoriformes; Xiphiidae.